CCGCCGCCGCGCGCUCUGCCAGCCCGCGAGUCCUCCGUAUCCAGGCCAGCGUCUUCACCCAGCCACGUGCCCUGCCCCUGGUGCGCAGGUGGACUGGAAAAGAGGAAGGCAAACGCAGUGGCCAGGCGGAGACCUCCCAAAUCCCACGUCUCCCCGAGAAUCAGAGACGGGCUCAGACCUAGGGCAGCCAUAAGAAAAAACGUCAACUACAUCUCGAGGGAGUGAGCCCUUGAGGCACUGAAAUGUCUAAUCCAUGUCUGGAAACAGAUUGAUGGUUCCCGAAAAUCCAGUGGGUCUCCCCCAUUUGAGAGAUCCCUAAAGGCAGGGGUCAUGUCUCUCCCCUUACACUGGGAGUUUCCUGAAGCCAGAUGCUGAAUUUCACCCUAAAGAAGGCAGCUGAGAGCACUAUAUGUGGCCCCACCAGACUGGGAGCUUCCUGAGGACAGGGGCUAAAUUUCACCCAUGAGAGUAACACUUCAAGAAACACUCUCUCUUCCUGCUUUGAGGACAGCUGAAGUCUCGCCACUUCUUCUGGAUGCUCUGACCAUCAGUGAGCCACCUCAGUCUCACCCGCCGCAGAAUGCAGGCCCACUCCAUCACUGAAGGGCCUCCUCCUUGGGCCAGGGCGCCUGCUUCUGCCAGUGGCAUCAUCACCCCACUCCUCAGCCGCCAGUCAUCAGAGUCUGUAACCACCAGCUGCUCUUCCAGAUUCAUGAGGCAAGGCCUGCCUGCUCACCUGGCUGGCCCCAAGCACCUCUUCAACCUGCUGCCACCGUCCUGCCUCGCUGCCCUUCUCAGCUCUUCCAGCAGGGUCUCCAAGUCAUGGAAAAAGAAGCAUGUAUACACACGUGCUCAUAUACACAUGCCCACAGCCGCAUAAGCACACCCAGAAACACCAUCGCAGACAUGUUCUCACAAGCACAUGCACGUAACACACUACCCCUCACUCGUAUACACACGAAUACACACACACUCAUGCGCACUCCCAGUCUUACACACACACACACACACAGUUAUAAUCACUGCUGUUGGAUGAAUUGUGCCCCCCACCCCCGUGCUAAAAAGAUAUGUUAGAGUCCUAACCUUCAGUACCUGGGGAUGUGACCGUAGUUGCAAAUAGAGUGUUUGUAGAUGUAAUCAAUUUAAGAUGAGCUCUUACUGGAUUAGAGUGGGUCCUAAAUCCAGUGACUGGUGUCCUUAUAAGGAGAAAAAGAUUUGAAAACAGAGACAUGGAGACACAGAGCGGAAGGCCAUGUGAUGAUGGAGUCAGAGAUUGGAGUGAUGCAGCUGCAGGCCAAGAAAUACCAAGGUGCUGGAAGCCCCCAGAAGCAAGGAGAGAGGCAUGGAACAAUCUCCAUCAGAGCCUCCAGAAGAAACAGACUCUGCCAACACCUUGAUUGCAGACUUUUGACCUCCUUCACUGUGCGAGAAUACAUUUCUAUUGUUUUAAACUAC
Molecule: long non-coding RNA, 1455 nt
Organism: Cercocebus atys (sooty mangabey)
Lineage: Eukaryota; Metazoa; Chordata; Mammalia; Primates; Cercopithecidae
Exons: 5
Source: RefSeq, a predicted model, not a curated record